AGAGUUUGAUCCUGGCUCAGGAUGAACGCUGGCGGCGUGCUUAACACAUGCAAGUCGAACGGGAAAUAUUUCAUUGAGACUUCGGUGGAUUUGAUCUAUUUCUAGUGGCGGACGGGUGAGUAACGCGUGGGUAACCUGCCUUAUACAGGGGGAUAACAGUCAGAAAUGGCUGCUAAUACCGCAUAAGCGCACAGAGCUGCAUGGCUCAGUGUGAAAAACUCCGGUGGUAUAAGAUGGACCCGCGUUGGAUAAGCUGGUUGGUGGGGUAACGGCCCACCAAGGCGACGAUCCAUAGCCGGCCUGAGAGGGUGAACGGCCACAUUGGGACUGAGACACGGCCCAGACUCCUACGGGAGGCAGCAGUGGGGAAUAUUGCACAAUGGGGGAAACCCUGAUGCAGCGACGCCGCGUGAAGGAAGAAGUAUCUCGGUAUGUAAACUUCUAUCAGCAGGGAAGAUAGUGACGGUACCUGACUAAGAAGCCCCGGCUAACUACGUGCCAGCAGCCGCGGUAAUACGUAGGGGGCAAGCGUUAUCCGGAUUUACUGGGUGUAAAGGGAGCGUAGACGGUGUGGCAAGUCUGAUGUGAAAGGCAUGGGCUCAACCUGUGGACUGCAUUGGAAACUGUCAUACUUGAGUGCCGGAGGGGUAAGCGGAAUUCCUAGUGGAGCGGUGAAAUGCGUAGAGAUCGGGAGGAACACCAGUGGCGAAGGCGGCCUGCUGGGCCUUAACUGACGCUGAGGCACGAAAGCAUGGGUAGCAAACAGGAUUAGAUACCCUGGUAGUCCAUGCCGUAAACGAUGAUUACUAGGUGUGGGUGGUCUGACCCCAUCCGUGCCGGAGUUAACACAAUAAGUAAUCCACCUGGGGAGUACGACCGCAAGGUUGAAACUCAAAGGAAUUGACGGGGGCCCGCACAAGCAGUGGAGUAUGUGGUUUAAUUCGAAGCAACGCGAAGAACCUUACCAGGUCUUGACAUCCUGCUAACGAGGUAGAGAUACGUUAGGUGCCCUUCGGGGAAAGCAGAGACAGGUGGUGCAUGGUUGUCGUCAGCUCGUGUCGUGAGAUGUUGGGUUAAGUCCCGCAACGAGCGCAACCCCUGCUAUUAGUUGCUACGCAAGAGCACUCUAAUAGGACUGCCGUUGACAAAACGGAGGAAGGUGGGGACGACGUCAAAUCAUCAUGCCCCUUAUGACCUGGGCUACACACGUACUACAAUGGCCGUCAACAGAGAGAAGCAAAACUGCGAAGUGGAGCAAAACUCUAAAAGCGGUCCCAGUUCGGAUCGUAGGCUGCAACCCGCCUACGCGAAGUUGGAAUUGCUAGUAAUCGCGGAUCAUCAUGCCGCGGUGAAUACGUUCCCGGGCCUUGUACACACCGCCCGUCACACCAUGGGAGCCGGUAAUACCCGAAGUCAGUAGUCUAACCGCAAGGGGGACGCUGCC
This 1444-nucleotide ribosomal RNA is filed under the name metagenome. RNAcentral's name for it is "bacterial SSU rRNA". It matches the Rfam family "Bacterial small subunit ribosomal RNA". The record is from RNAcentral.